GACGAACGCUGGCGGCGUGCUUAACACAUGCAAGUCGAACGGAAAGGCCCUGCUUGCAGGGUACUCGAGUGGCGAACGGGUGAGUAACACGUGGGUGAACUGCCCUGCACUUCGGGAUAAGCCUGGGAAACUGGGUCUAAUACAGGAUAGGAGCCAUCCUUCUUGUGAUGGUUGGAAAGUUUUUUCGGUGUAGGGUGAGCUCGCGGCCUAUCAGCUUGCUGGUGGGGUAAUGGCCGACCAAGGCGGCCACGGGUAGCCGGCCUGGGGGGGUGGACGGGCACAAUGGGGCUGAGAUACGGCCCAGACUUCUACGGGGGGCAGCAGGGGGGAAUAUUGCACAAUGGGCGCGAGCCUGGUGCAGCGACGCCGCGGGGCGGAUGACGGCCCUCGGGUUGUAAACUCCUUUCGCUAGGGACGAAGCUUUGUGUGACGGUACCUAGAAAAGAAGCACCGGCUAACUACGUG
RNAcentral lists this ribosomal RNA (465 nucleotides) under uncultured bacterium. Its description in RNAcentral is "partial 16S ribosomal RNA". It matches the Rfam family "Bacterial small subunit ribosomal RNA", at positions 28 to 507 of the family's 1533-position model. The record is from RNAcentral.